AGUCCUGUAGCUCAACGGUAGAGCAAGCGCCUUACAAGCGAGAGGUUGUAGGUUCGAUUCCUAUCAGGACUACCA
RNAcentral lists this transfer RNA (75 nucleotides) under Oscillatoriales cyanobacterium SpSt-418. RNAcentral describes it as "tRNA-Val". It matches the Rfam family "tRNA". From Rfam's summary of the family: Transfer RNA (tRNA) molecules are approximately 80 nucleotides in length. Their secondary structure includes four short double-helical elements and three loops (D, anti-codon, and T loops). Further hydrogen bonds mediate the characteristic L-shaped molecular structure. tRNAs have two regions of fundamental functional importance: the anti-codon, which is responsible for specific mRNA codon recognition, and the 3' end, to which the tRNAs corresponding amino acid is attached (by aminoacyl-tRNA synthetases). tRNAs cope with the degeneracy of the genetic code in two manners: having more than one tRNA (with a specific anti-codon) for a particular amino acid; and 'wobble' base-pairing, i.e. permitting non-standard base-pairing at the 3rd anti-codon position. RNAcentral also lists the same sequence under 2 other names. Lineage: Bacteria; Bacillati; Cyanobacteriota; Cyanophyceae; Oscillatoriales. The record is from RNAcentral.